AAACCUGAACAGUCCUGAUGGAAACCGCUGGAAAAACAAGUUUGGCUCGGUUUUGACAUUUUCCCCCUGACCAGCUGGAGUGCUGAGAAUGGAGCUCUGCAGAGAAUGUCGUCUGGGCGGCGUCUGACCCCAGGUCUCGGGGCUGUGUGGAGAUUCCUCCCUGGAGCAGGGUCACCCCGUGAGGAUGAGCCACAGAGGUUCAGUUCUUGGAGCAGAUGCUGCACUCACCUCUGUGGACACGCACUGAGCUCUCACUGCAGGAACCCCUCAGGCCUCGGUGGCUGUGAGUUCAUGUUCUUCUCACUGGGGAAUUGAAAUAAUUGCUGGUUAAUUGCAGAAAUGUUUUCUGGAGCCUUUCCCCUUUUGUGUCCCUGUGCUGUGUGGGACAAGGGCAGAGGAGCCUCGGGCUGGAAAGGGGCGGGAGAAGGCAAAGGGACCCCCUGGUGUCCCCAGGGCUCUGUGGGGAACAGAAGGGACACUGUGCGGGCACGGGGAGGUGAGGAGUGACAGUCUGGGGCCAAAUCCCAGCUCAGCCGCAGGGAAAUAAGGGAGGGACAUUUUGGAGGGGAAAGCUGAGGUCAUGAGAUCACCCAGCCUGGCCCAGUUGUGUUCACACAAAGUGGCACCAGAGGCGAAGGUCAGUCCAGAGCCCACCCUGCUCAACCUCUGAGUCCCAGAAUAAAUUCUACAAGCUGCCCAUUGAGGGACUAAAAACACAUGAAAGCAGAACCAAGAGCAACCCAGAAGGUUCCUGGGAAUCCCAUUACAGUGUUGUCACAGCCUUUUUAACAGAGCUGUAAGUUUUUUAUUUCAACACUGCAUUUCUCUGCUGGGAUCAUUCACUCUGGGGGCUGUGGGGACUUUUUGGGUUUGAACUCCCUCCCGGUGGCCCUGACACUGCUCAGGAGCUGGAGGAAAAGUAGAGGCAGCGCUCCUGGCAGGGGCAGGGAGUUUUCCCCCAGAGCAGAUCCAGCAGCUGCCCACCAGCCUGGCCAGGAGGGAUCUGCUUUGGCUCCCGGCUGCUGCAGGGACAGAACGUGUUCAGCUGCUCCAGGUGACAUUCCAGCAGCCUCAUCUCCCAUCCAGGACAAGGCGGUGGCUGGAUGCGCUCCCGGCCUGUGCUGAGGCAGAACAUCUCUCCUGCAGAAGCUCAGCUCCUUUCAGAGCCUCAGCAGUGGCCUCUGCAUGUCCUUUUCCCUCAAGAAAGAGAUGCACAUCCCUGACUGCAGCACACCUCCAGUGGGACCCACCUGCGAGUUUUCCAUCACUUCUGCACUUCCAGCUGGCUCCCUGAAAAAUUCCAAACGUCAUCCCACUCCAACCUCUGAUUUUAGGGCAUCUCCGAGACUAUUGGUUGGCAUUUAAUAUCUGUGAGAGAAGAUUGCCUUGGCUUUAAUGCUGCUGGUGGAUGAUAGCCUCAGGCUGGAAAAGAGGGAAGGGAUUUGGGGUGGCCAGGACAUACCUGGCAGCUGUGUGGGAUCUCUGAACCAGGAAUUGCUGUCUGAGCUGCUCUACAAGCAGCCUGUACCUCCAUUCCCAGGUAAUGCCAGCUGCUCCUUGGGCUUCUGGGCUGUCAGUGGUCUCUGUCCAGACCAAAGCAUCUCCCCAUGCCUGGUCAGAGCAGCCCCUGGCUGAGGAGCCAUGGUGCAGGCACAGCUUCUCCCCUGCAUAUCCCAAGGACAAGAGGUGCUGCUUCCCUUCCAGGGGUUUCUGGCCUUCUCCUGCCCUGCGCUCCCAGCCAGCUGGGACACACUGAGGGAACACCAAGGAACAUUGCUGGCAGUGAGAGGGAGACACCGAGGCCUCUGGGCCAGAAAAGCAGCCCUGGCCUCAGCAGCCACCAUCGUUUAGUCCUGACAACACUCACCUUCAGGCAAUGCCCCCUGCUGCUCUGCAAAAGAACAUCGGCCAUGGAGCAAGGUAACCCUCAGGACUUGUCUCAUUUGCUUCUCCCUGCAAAGGAACAUAGCAUAAGCAAUUUACAGCUGUUGGGUAAAUCCUAGAAAGGGUAGAAGAGUCAGGGUUAUGGGGAAGAGUUUGGUGCUGUCAUGUCAGGUGCUAGCUAGUUCUGCCCUACAGCCAGUGCAGGGGCUGGUGUGUAAAGCAGCAUUAUAAGAAGAAAAGGAGCUGCAUUUGUAUAGGAGUUCCUUACUGGAAGCAGUCAUUCCUAUCCCACCCGUGACCUUUGUCAUGACCUUGACACUUGGAGCAGGGUGCUGAGAAGGCCAAAAUUCUGUGUUCAAUGUGCAGCUGGGCCAGUCGCUUCUCAUCAUUUAACUCCAUGAGCCUCAAGGUACUGGAAAUAAAGAAUU
Molecule: long non-coding RNA, 2312 nt
Filed under: Taeniopygia guttata (zebra finch)
Lineage: Eukaryota; Metazoa; Chordata; Aves; Passeriformes; Estrildidae
Description: lncRNA (ENSTGUG00000018861.1)
Source: RNAcentral